UCUCUGUUAGUAUAUCGGUUAGUACACGCGCCUGUCAUCGAUUGUACGGUCGCGCGAAAGCGGGGUUCGACUCCCCGACAGAGAG
This is a non-coding RNA of Trametes meyenii, 85 nucleotides long. Lineage: Eukaryota; Fungi; Basidiomycota; Agaricomycetes; Polyporales; Polyporaceae. The record is from the annotation of a GenBank genome assembly.